AAUAAAACUACAAUUUAUGGUGCCUUACAAAGGAGAAUAGGGAAUCAGGUGAAAAUCCUGAACGAACCCAUCACUGUAAUGGUUUUGUUUUUGCAGAUGCCACUGGCAACGGGAAGGCGCAAAAACAGAUAAACCAGAGUCAGGAGACCUGCCAUGAAUUGAUAUAGUAU
Molecule: non-coding RNA, 170 nt
Filed under: Acetobacterium wieringae
Lineage: Bacteria; Bacillati; Bacillota; Clostridia; Eubacteriales; Eubacteriaceae
Source: RNAcentral